AAAAUAGAUACCCAGGUAGUCCACGCCGUAAACGAUGAGUGCUAGGUGUUGGGGGGGUCCACCCCUCGGUGCCGAAGUUAACACAUUAAGCACUCCGCCUGGGGAGUACGGUCGCAAGACUGAAACUCAAAGGAAUUGACGGGGACCCGCACAAGCAGUGGAGUAUGUGGUUUAAUUCGAAGCAACGCGAAGAACCUUACCAGGUCUUGACAUCCCUCUGAAUCCUCUAGAGAUAGAGGCGGCCUUCGGGACAGAGGAGACAGGUGGUGCAUGGUUGUCGUCAGCUCGUGUCGUGAGAUGUUGGGUUAAGUCCCGCAACGAGCGCAACCCUUGAAUUUAGUUGCCAGCACUUUAAGGUGGGCACUCUAGAUUGACUGCCGGUGACAAACCGGAGGAAGGCGGGGAUGACGUCAAAUCAUCAUGCCCCUUAUGACCUGGGCUACACACGUACUACAAUGGCCGGUACAACGGGCAGCGAAGGAGCGAUCCGGAGCCAAUCCUACCAAAGCCGGUCUCAGUUCGGAUUGCAGG
This 531-nucleotide ribosomal RNA is filed under the name uncultured bacterium. RNAcentral's name for it is "bacterial SSU rRNA". It matches the Rfam family "Bacterial small subunit ribosomal RNA", at positions 775 to 1304 of the family's 1533-position model. The record is from RNAcentral.